RNAcentral lists this ribosomal RNA (301 nucleotides) under uncultured bacterium. RNAcentral's name for it is "partial 16S ribosomal RNA". It matches the Rfam family "Bacterial small subunit ribosomal RNA", at positions 509 to 809 of the family's 1533-position model. The record is from RNAcentral.
CAGUAGCCACGGUAAUACGAAGGGGGCUAGCGUUGUUCGGAUUUACUGGGCGUAAAGCGCACGUAGGCGGACUUUUAAGUCAGGGGUGAAAUCCCGGGGCUCAACCCCGGAACUGCCUUUGAUACUGGGAGUCUUGAGUUCGAGAGAGGUGAGUGGAAUUGCGAGUGUAGAGGUGAAAUUCGUAGAUAUUCGCAGGAACACCAGUGGCGAAGGCGGCUCACUGGCUCGAUACUGACGCUGAGGUGCGAAAGCGUGGGAAGCAAACAGGAUUAGAUACCCCAGUAGUCCCUGUCUCUUAUAA